RNAcentral lists this ribosomal RNA (500 nucleotides) under uncultured bacterium. Its description in RNAcentral is "bacterial SSU rRNA". It matches the Rfam family "Bacterial small subunit ribosomal RNA", at positions 29 to 507 of the family's 1533-position model. The record is from RNAcentral.
AGCGAACGCUGGCGGCGUGCCUAACACAUGCAAGUCGAACGUGAAAAGGGGCAACCCUUAGUAAAGUGGCGUACGGGUGAGUAAUGCAUAGAUAAUCUACCUGAAAGUCCGGAAUAACCUGCCGAAAGGCGGGCUAAUACCAGAUAGAGCGACGGGGGUCGUAAAGACCUUCUCGGGAAAGGGAGCUCGUAAGAGCCUUCGCUUUCGGAUGAGUCUAUGCCCCAUCAGCUAGUUGGUAAGGUAAUGGCUUACCAAGGCUAUGACGGGUAGCUGGUCUGAGAGGAUGAUCAGCCACACUGGGACUGAAACACGGCCCAGACUCCUACGGGAGGCAGCAGGUGGGGAAUAUUGCGCAAUGGACGAAAGUCUGACGCAGCGACGCCGUGUGAGUGAAGAAGGCCUUCGGGUUGUAAAGCUCUGUCGAGUGGGAAGAAAACCUUUUAGGUUAAUAGCCUAAGAGCUUGACGGUACCACGAGAGGAAGCACCGGCUAACUCCGUG